GCAUUGGUGGUUCAGUGAUAGAAUUCUCACCUUCAAAGUGAGAGACCCAGGUUCGAUUCCAGGCUGAUGCG
RNAcentral lists this transfer RNA (71 nucleotides) under Trichechus manatus latirostris (Florida manatee). Its description in RNAcentral is "tRNA-Sup (TCA) (tRNA-Sup-TCA-3-1)". It matches the Rfam family "tRNA". From Rfam's summary of the family: Transfer RNA (tRNA) molecules are approximately 80 nucleotides in length. The record is from Rfam by way of RNAcentral. Lineage: Eukaryota; Metazoa; Chordata; Mammalia; Sirenia; Trichechidae.